RNAcentral lists this ribosomal RNA (496 nucleotides) under uncultured bacterium. Its description in RNAcentral is "partial 16S ribosomal RNA". It matches the Rfam family "Bacterial small subunit ribosomal RNA", at positions 28 to 506 of the family's 1533-position model. The record is from RNAcentral.
GAUGAACGCUGGCGGCGUGCCUAAUACAUGCAAGUCGAGCGAACGGACGAGGAGCUUGCUCCUUUGACGUUAGCGGCGGACGGGUGAGUAACACGUGGAUAACCUACCUAUAAGACUGGGAUAACUUCGGGAAACCGGAGCUAAUACCGGAUAAUAUAUUGAACCGCAUGGUUCAAUAGUGAAAGACGGUUUUGCUGUCACUUAUAGAUGGAUCCGCGCCGCAUUAGCUAGUUGGUAAGGUAACGGCUUACCAAGGCAACGAUGCGUAGCCGACCUGAGAGGGUGAUCGGCCACACUGGAACUGAGACACGGUCCAGACUCCUACGGGAGGCAGCAGUAGGGAAUCUUCCGCAAUGGGCGAAAGCCUGACGGAGCAACGCCGCGUGAGUGAUGAAGGUCUUCGGAUCGUAAAACUCUGUUAUUAGGGAAGAACAAAUGUGUAAGUAACUAUGCACGUCUUGACGGUACCUAAGCAGAAAGCCACGGCUAACUACGU